RNAcentral lists this non-coding RNA (29 nucleotides) under Mus musculus (house mouse). The record is from RNAcentral. Lineage: Eukaryota; Metazoa; Chordata; Mammalia; Rodentia; Muridae.
CGCCGAAUCCCGGGCCGAGGAAGCCAGAU